UGGGCUGCAAAAGAAGUAGGUAGUUUAACCUUCGGGAGAACGCUUACCACUUUGUGGUUCAUGACUGGGGUGAAGUCGUAACAAGGUAGCCCUAGGGGAACCUGGGGCUGGAUCACCUCCUUAACGAA
RNAcentral lists this ribosomal RNA (128 nucleotides) under Vibrio albus. RNAcentral's name for it is "Vibrio sp. E4404 partial 16S ribosomal RNA". It matches the Rfam family "Bacterial small subunit ribosomal RNA", at positions 1411 to 1533 of the family's 1533-position model. The record is from RNAcentral. Lineage: Bacteria; Pseudomonadati; Pseudomonadota; Gammaproteobacteria; Vibrionales; Vibrionaceae.